CGGCAGGCCUAACACAUGCAAGUCGAACGGUAACAUUUCUAGCUUGCUAGAAGAUGACGAGUGGCGGACGGGUGAGUAAUGCUUGGGAACUUGCCUUUGCGAGGGGGAUAACAGUUGGAAACGACUGCUAAUACCGCAUAAUGUCUACGGACCAAACGGGGCUUCGGCUCCGGCGCAAAGAGAGGCCCAAGUGAGAUUAGCUAGUUGGUAAGGUAACGGCUUACCAAGGCGACGAUCUCUAGCUGUUCUGAGAGGAAGAUCAGCCACACUGGGACUGAGACACGGCCCAGACUCCUACGGGAGGCAGCAGUGGGGAAUAUUGCACAAUGGGGGAAACCCUGAUGCAGCCAUGCCGCGUGUGUGAAGAAGGCCUUCGGGUUGUAAAGCACUUUCAGUUGUGAGGAAAAGUUAGUAGUUAAUACCUGCUAGCCGUGACGUUAACAACAGAAGAAGCACCGGC
RNAcentral lists this ribosomal RNA (460 nucleotides) under uncultured Gammaproteobacteria bacterium. RNAcentral describes it as "bacterial SSU rRNA". It matches the Rfam family "Bacterial small subunit ribosomal RNA", at positions 40 to 497 of the family's 1533-position model. The record is from RNAcentral. Lineage: Bacteria; Pseudomonadati; Pseudomonadota; Gammaproteobacteria.